CACGUAGGGGGCGAGCGUUGUCCGGAAUUACUGGGUGUAAAGGGCGCGCAGGCGGCCUCGCAAGUCAGAUGUGAAAGCUCAAGGCUUAACCUUGGAAUGUCAUCUGAAACUGCGGGACUUGAGUAUCAGAGGGGAAAGUGGAAUUCCUGGUGGAGCGGUAAAAUGCGCAGAGAUCAGGAGGAACACCGGUGGCGAAGGCGACUUUCUGGCUGACAACUGACGCUGAGGCGCGAAAGCGUGGGGAGCAAACAGGAUUAGAUACCCG
This 265-nucleotide ribosomal RNA is filed under the name uncultured prokaryote. RNAcentral describes it as "partial 16S ribosomal RNA". It matches the Rfam family "Bacterial small subunit ribosomal RNA", at positions 524 to 788 of the family's 1533-position model. The record is from RNAcentral.